Molecule: transfer RNA, 75 nt
Filed under: Microcaldota archaeon
Lineage: Archaea; Nanobdellati; Microcaldota
Description: tRNA-Thr
Rfam family: tRNA
About the family: Transfer RNA (tRNA) molecules are approximately 80 nucleotides in length. Their secondary structure includes four short double-helical elements and three loops (D, anti-codon, and T loops).
Source: RNAcentral
GCCCCAGUAGCUCAGCUUGGUUAGAGCGACUGUUUCGUAAACAGUAGGCCGGGGGUCCAAAUCCCUCCUGGGGCU